This is a non-coding RNA of Rattus norvegicus (Norway rat), 4481 nucleotides long. NCBI's taxonomy places the organism in Eukaryota, Metazoa, Chordata, Mammalia, Rodentia, Muridae. The record is from RefSeq and is a predicted model, not a curated record.
AGUGAGCUGGCAUGGGUCUUGCCUAGGCUCUAUGCACAUAUGUUAUACUUGUGUAGCUCGGUCUUCUUGUGGGAUUACUAACAGUCAGAGCAGAUGCUAUCUCUGACCCUUCUGCCUGAUUUUGAGAACCUUACCUCCCACUUGGUUGCCUCAUCCAGACUUAAUAACAAAGGGCUUUGCCCAGUCUUAUUGAAACUUAAUAUGCCAUGUUUGGUGCGUGAAAGUGAGGGGUGGAAUGUGGUCAGGACAAAAUAUAUGAGAGAAAAAAGAAAAAGACUGGCACUGUUUGAAAGGGACUAGGGGGUGUGACCUUGUUGGAAGAAGUGUGUCACAGGGGGUGGCAUUUAAAGUUUCACAAAUCCAAGCCAGGUCCAGUGUCUCUUUUGUCCCUUUUGUCCCACUCCCUGCAGAUCUUGCUGUAGAACUCUCAGCUCCUUUUCAGCAUCAUGUCUGCCUGCACUCUGCCAUGCUUCUCACCAUGCUGAGAAAGAAUGGGAAACUCUGAACUUUCCUGGUGACCUAGAGGUUGGCUCAUCAACAAAAGGGAUCUUGAAACAAUGGCCAUACAGUUCAGCCAUGAAGUUUGUUCAUGAAGACAGUCUCCAACUUGGGUUACAAUGAUAUAACUGUUCAGGUAACCACAAAAAAAGAAGUAUCACCCUUUUUGGCUAAUUUGUGUCCUUGAAACAUGGGACGUGGUUUAAACUGUGGAAAUACUAAUCCAAGCAUUCUAUGGCUAACCCUUAACUUAUUAAAGUGAUAAGAUUUUAUAAAGGUGUGAAAUGUAUUAAAGAGUAUUUAGAUAUUUAGAUAUUUCCUCUUUGUAGCCUAAUUUGUGUGGGUUUGAUUCUCUUUUGAUGCUGAAUAAAGUUUCAUUCCAGAUGAAAAUAAGAACUCUUUCUGCACCUACUUGGAUGUUUCUUCUCUAUUUCUCUCAUCUUGGUAGAUACUCAUUUAUGCUUGGUUACUAUAAAUGUCUUGCUUUCUUUCUUUCUUUGUUUGUUUUUAAUAGGAAAAAUACCCUGUUUCAAAACAUCUCUGAAAUAGAGAUAAUGACCAUUUUUUUUUACUUUGUAAUAGACAUGUUCUUGAGAAAAUGAAACUCCUAAUGCCCAAUGAAUUUGGGGAGCAGGCCUAGCCUUCAUAUUUGAUGUUGUCUUGUCAAAACGCUGUGAUAUGAUAUUUAGUAAUAGUGCUAAAAAUUGACUUUUUUUUACAAAAACAAAUAAAAUUAAAAUGAAUGAUUAUGCCUUGAAAACACAAAUCUUAGUGACAUUCAUAUUUAAUAAUCAGCCUGUAAACUGGGAAUGAUGGUGCAAACCUGUUGACUUGCCUGUUUGGGAAGUCAAGGCCGAAGGAUCUAGAACUCAAGGAUUACCUGAAGUACAAGGUGAUUCCAAAGCCAUCCAGGUCAAUUUAGGAAAACCAAAAUAAAAGAGGGCCCAAGGAGAUUUGGGAAUUAGAGCCUAGUGUAGAAUUGGCUAUUGAUUCAACCCUUAGAAUAAGAAACAUACAACAAGUUGAAGAUAUCUAUCUUAAUUUAGAAAGGUUUAGUACAUAUUUUACUUGAAAGAAUGAAUCUAAAAAUAUCCCACAGUAUACAACUGUUCAUAGAUAAGAGAUUGUUAAACAUACAUGAAAAUUUUGUGAGCUAAAUAUUAUUGUCCUUAUUUUAGUAUUGAUGACAUAUGUUCAUCUAACAUAAUGGUAGCAUUAAGCAGCAGAGGAAGGACUAUGACAUUUAAAGUCUGAUGUUGAGUUUAAUAAGAACUUGUCCACAGCUAAUACAAUUGCACAAAGAGAAAAUUGGCAAAGAGAAUAAAAGCCAACCAUGUGUAUAGAGUACUUAACCAUCUGAAGCCCAACCUGCUAAGAACAUUCAUUGUACGUCACUUUGCAUCUCUUGGGGAUCCAUAGCUCUUUACAGCACCACAGGCUAUUUCAACUGUAGAUUGUUUUCUUUACAAACUUGAAAUUUUCAUUCCAGAGUGAGCAACUCUUAGAUAGAAAAGUAAUGCUCCAGGAUGCAAGACAAAUGAAAAACUGGGGACGUAAGUAGAGGAAUACAAAGCCUGUAUCUUGGCGCAAUGUUGUCUUUAGAAGGUGCUAGGCAGAUACUAUUUACCAGUGUCACAGUGAGACACGGCCACAAAUAUGGUCUCAAUAUAGUCUUGUUUCCAUUCUUUAAGUAUAAAGCUAAACCUUUAAAAUACAUUGAUUUAUUGUCUCUUAUACUCCAGAAGUUAUGUUACAAAUAUUCAUGCUUGGUUCACAGGGCAAGGAGAAAGUAAAGUCUAUCAGAAGAAAGGAUUUUGGAAUUCCAUUCUUUCUGGUCAUGUCAAAAUAGAUCUAGUUUCUAGCUUCCAUUUGUUUGAGGAAUCACACUAAGAAAUUAGCUGUUUUCCCUAUGACUAACAAUGUGAGUCCAUCGGUUAAUGAAAAUGUCAAUGCCCUAAGCUUACGGAAAGGGGUCUUUCUGAUCAUGCACACUACAAGCUGUGUUGACUGGGUGUCAUCUCAGUAAUUGUAUCCAUAAUCAUAUUCACAUUUGCACAGAUUGUGCAGGGUGAGUUUUCUUAUUAAACUAUUGCUAGGUAAAUAAUGUUUGAAUUCCUUUAGUAUGUUUCAAAAGUAUUACUUUUAUAGGAAUUCCUUUCUAAUAAAGGCCUAAUUGUAACCAAUCAAUAAUGACUGAACAAUAAUUUAAGCAUAGAGUUGGGGCAACAAAGAGUGGCAAUUAAAGUGUUCAACCCUGAAAUAACUUACUGUGAACUUGUAUAAAAUAUUACAAUGAUAUAAAGCUAAGUAAAUAAUAUUAUAUGACAGUUCAGGUGAAUGGUUGGAAAUGUUCAGAACUUAGAAAAGGAACCAAGAGGGGAAAGAUUGUGAAGGGAGUUUUAUUGUUUAUAGACAGUGCAAUAUACUAAAACCAACAGUAUUUCUAUCCAUGAGAAUGAAUCUUGAAAUUCCAAAGAGGACUUGACCUCACAUAUUCCUCAUAUGCAUCAUUUCUUCACAGUGUGUGCCCUUCAACUGGAGCAUGGUCAAAUGAGUCUUGGCUACACUUUUGGGAAAACAUUAUUUCUUCUUCCCAAAGCUAACAAUAACUAAAAGUUCCUUAGCUGUGGGUGGGACUCAUGUCCAUCUUCCCUCUCCAAAUUGGGAAUAUCUUGAGCUUGCACAGGUCUCAUGGUUGCUGUCCUAAUUACUGUGAAUUCACAUGUGCACUUGCCCUGCUGUGUCCCAAAGACAUUGUUUCCAUGUAGCUCUUACACUCUUAAUACAACUUCUUCUGAAAUAAUACUUGAGCUGUGAGUGGAGGAAGCACAGUGCAUAUAUUUCAUUUAGAGUUUAGCACUCUUCAGUUUCUUACUAUUUGCAGUUACAGAUCUCUGUGUUAAUAACCUCUACAAAUAGAAGCUUCUCAGCUGAGGGUUAAGGUAGAAGCACAGGUCUAUCAUUAUAAUGAUAUAUCAUUAGGAAUUGGUUUGUCUCAGUUCUCAGCAUAGUAGUAAUAGGUUGUCUCCCAGGCCCCAUCAUCUUUCUAGCGUUAGACUCUUGGUCUGACAAUGUUACCAGGUCUGGGUUUCAUCUUGUGUAGUGUGCCGUAAACCUAAUCAGAAAGUGGUUUGUUACUCCCGGGCUGACUGUGCCACUAUUGGACAUGCCUUGCGUAUGCUUGCCAUGCCAGGAUAUGUCACGCCAGGGCAGUCAUUGGUGUAGCACACAGGAUACAUAACUGGGUUGGACUGAUUAUUCUUCUUCUUAUCUAAUAGAGGGAAUACCAUCUUCUAGAACCGUGAAAGCGAGAGAGAGUAGGAAUGAAGCUGCCAUGUGAGAACCUGUUUGGUUUAUUCAUAUUUUCUGUCUCAAGCCUAUGGUAUCUUCAGCAGCACAAGGUAACUACGAAGUUCUGAAAGGUAACUGUGCAAGAUAGUUUUAUGUCAACUUGACACACACUACAGUCAUCUGAGAGAAGGAGACCUUAAUUAAGAAAACGUCUCUAGAUCGGGCUGUAGACAGACAAACUUUUAGGGCAUUUUCUCACAUGGCAAUUGUUGAGGGUGAGUCUAACCCAUUGUCGGUGAGAAUGAGCAAAUGGUCCUGGAUUCUAUAAGAAAGCAGGAUGAGGACAGGAGGCAGGAGUGGGUGUGAGCAGAGGAGCACCUUCAUAGAAGCAGAGGGAGGACGGAUGGGAUAGGGGAUUGCUGGAGGGGAAACCGGGAAAGGGGAUAACAUUUGAAAUGUAAAUAAAUAAAAUAUCCAAAAAAAAAAGCAGGACGAACAAGCCAUGCAGAGCUAGAGGGCAAGAAGGACUCCCCUAUGGCCUCAGCAUCAGCUCCUGCCUCCAGAUUCCUGCUUUGGCUUCACCCGGUGGACUGUGAUUUGGUAUGUGUGAGUCAAGUCAAUUCUCUCCUUUCCAGGUUGCUUUGGUCACAGUGUUUAAUCACAUCAAUAAAAACCCUAAGUAUGACAGUAGU